UACGUAGGGUGCAAGCGUUGUCCGGAAUUAUUGGGCGUAAAGCGCGCGCAGGCGGUCCUUUAAGUCUGAUGUGAAAGCCCUCGGCUCAACCGAGGAGGGUCAUUGGAAACUGGAGGACUUGAGUGCAGAAGAGGAAAGUGGAAUUCCAAGUGUAGCGGUGAAAUGCGUAGAGAUUUGGAGGAACACCAGUGGCGAAGGCGACUUUCUGGUCUGUAACUGACGCUGAGGCGCGAAAGCGUGGGGAGCAAACAGG
Molecule: ribosomal RNA, 253 nt
Filed under: uncultured bacterium
Lineage: Bacteria
Description: partial 16S ribosomal RNA
Rfam family: Bacterial small subunit ribosomal RNA
Source: RNAcentral